This 7011-nucleotide long non-coding RNA is filed under the name Gossypium barbadense (sea-island cotton). RNAcentral's name for it is "long non-coding RNA (GBAR_LNC018774)". The record is from RNAcentral. Lineage: Eukaryota; Viridiplantae; Streptophyta; Magnoliopsida; Malvales; Malvaceae.
GAAAUAGGAACACACAGUCGUGUCCCAGCCCGUGCCCAUGCUCGUGUGAGUAUACUGACAUGGGUCACACGGCUAAGCCACACGCCCGUGUGCUAAGCUGUGUGAGCAUACUGACUUGCAACCCUUAAGAAGCUACAGAGGACAUAUGGUCGUGUCCCUUCCCAUGUGGACGAAAAUAGGCCAUUUUAUAAGCCACAUUUCUCACCCAAUUAGACACCAACCUACGCCCAAAAAUGCACACAUACACAAGCUAUAAUCAAGCAUCCAAAACAAGCAUAUACCAUAUACAACCAAUAUGCCCUUUGGCACAUCGAAUAACAAGUAUGAAAUAUAUGCAACCAUGUGAUCCAUGUAACCAAGUAAUCAACUAACUUAUAUAUACACAACAUGUAAAUGAUUUACCAAAACUUACCAUUUGAUAUGAAUUGUACCACAUAAUCAAUAGCAUCAAAUACAUAUAUGCUUUCCCUAGCAUAGCACCAAACCACACCAAGUUAUAAAACAUACAUCACAUACAUAUUCAACUAUUAUUUUAAUUUUCAUCUUUUAACUACAAAUCAAUCCACACAUCAACCUUAUAAGCAGAUUAUGCAUAUACCAAAAUACCAAAAACAAGUCAAAUAAAUGGCUAAUCUCAACAAAACACAUAUAGGCUAAUAUUAGUCAAAAUAACCUAUACAUGCCAUUAUAACCAAAAUUUAACCAACUAAAAGUACCAAAAGAUCCGAUGGAUAGUGUGAUAUAGCUCCGACAAGCUUCUAACCAGAGCGAGCUUCUGAAUUACUAUAAAACACGAAAAAUAAUACAGAGUAAGCAUUUAAGCUUAGUAAGUUCGUAUAACAUAAAAUUUAACUUACCAUUUAACCAUAAUUUAGAUAAGUAAAUAUAGCAUAUCCCAACUCAAUUUGACCAAAUGCCUAUGUACAGAUUCACCAACAUGUUAGCCAUGUAAAACACAUAUAAUAGCCAAUACACAUGGAUGAACUCAACAAUUACUCAAGUACCAUAUACAUGUAUCUAUAUCAAUAUAUCAUGUAACAUCAUUUCUAUGUAUUUCAUAUAAAUACUUGUAAUAGUUCGUAUUGAACUCAUAUAAUAUCGUAACAGAACUGUGUCCAUUGAACCAUUUAGAAUAUCGUUGGAUACUCAGGUAGCACACAUGAGGUGUACUGAACUAUAAUCCAUCAAUUCAUGUACAUGUAUGCUCAUACGAGCUCUGUAUCGGUAUACUCUUACGAGCUAUAAUCAGUAAGCUCUUGCGAGCUGAGUAAUGAUCAGCUCAUGCUAGCUAAAUAUCAGUAAGCUCAUACGAGCUAAGAAUCGAUAAGCUCUCACGAGCUAAAAUCGGUAACCCUAAUAACAUGUCAUUUGUAUCCUACGAAUUCUUAAGGUUCAAAAGGGGCUCAGUAGUCGUUGUACGUCGAUAGAUAUGCUAUCAGUAUUCAUACAUGGCAAUUUCACAAUUUACAUACAUAUAAUUCAAUUAAAACAUAUAAAUGCACAAUUUAAUUACACAAACUUACCUCGAUGAGUAUACGUAGAUACGGAGGCGAUUAAUCCGAGACUCUCUUUUCCCCGAUCUAACUCUGUACGAGGUCUAACUGGAUCUAUACAAAUAAAUUUAACCUAAUUAAAUUUAUUUCUCAUUGAAUUUAGUCCAACAUAUAAUUUUGGAAAAAUUAUCAUUUUUCUCCUAUACUUUUAAUUUUUUUGCAAUUUAAUCCCUAGGCUCAUAAAAUGAAAUUCAUACAAUUUUUCCCUUACCCAAGCUUAGCCGAUUUUUAUACAUACUAAUAGAAGCCCAUAUAUUUCACAAAUUCAUAAUUUUUACCAGGAAUUUAUCACAUUUUUCAAUUUAGCCCCUAAUUGAUAAUUUCAUAAAAAAUUCCUUUACAAAAGUUGUUUAUCUAACAACAACCAUCCAUUUUUUAUCAUCAAACUUCAAAACUCACAUAUAUUCAUCAAUGUUAAAACCUUAAUAGUUUAACAGUUUCAUAAAUUAGUCCCCGGGCUAGCUAGAUUAAGCUACAACGAUCCUAAAAACGUAUAAAUCAUUAAAAACAUGAUAAAAAUCAUACCUAAUUGGGCAAUAUAAGCUUGGUCGAAUGUUGUUCAAAAAAAAUGGCUUCCUUUAUUCUUCAAAAUCGGUUGAAUAAAGAAGAAAAGAUGAUACUUGGCUUUUAUUUUACUUAAUUUUAACUUUAAAUACUUUAUUACCUAUUUAACCUUUUUAAACAUUAAAAAUUACACUUAUACCAAGCCAUGUACAUACACUAUCACUAUUAUUGGGAUAAUUACCCUAUAAGGACCUUCACUUUAAAGUUCUACAGCUAUUUAAUACCUCUAGUUAUUGGAAUUUAACUUUUGCACUUUACACGAUUUAGUCCUUUUUAUUAAAUUGAACGUGUAAACGGUAAAAUUUCUUAAUGAAGUUUUUAUACGGUAAUUCUAUCAUGUUGUAGACCAUAAAAUAAUAGUAAAAUAAAUUUUUGACUUCAGAUUUGUCGUCUCAAAAUCACUAUUCUGAUUUCACUAAAAAUAACUGUUACAGAUUUAUCAAAUCUAUCAGCACCAAAUUGCAUCAAAUGCCUUAUAUACUUAGUACUAGUGUAACUAAGUAGCAAAAACAUCAACCAAAAAGUAACAAAAUAGCAGCAUAUUCUUUAGUUGCAACUUACAUGGCUCGAACUGCUAUGGUCUGUAUAAAAGCCAUCUUUUAACAAUUUUGCAUAUUGUGUUUCAGUUGGGAGUUCGAAGGUGUACUAUGAGUUGGGAUUAAACAUGUUUUAAGCUAAAAAUCAUGGUUAAGAAAGCAUUUGUUAAAGGUACGUGGGUGAAGAUUAAAUUCUAAUGGGAAAUUGAUUCAUUGAUGUCAUGGUGGAUCCCGCCCUUGACCAUAAUUGUUGGGAUAAUUUCUUUUCUAGAAAACUAUGUAAGUUAAUUGUUGAAUGAGUUGAAGAUUUUAGCCUUUUAGAUUAUGGUUGUGAAUUCAAAAUCGGAUGUUCUUUUUCAUAGCAUGAUUCCAAUCUUUUUCGGUCCAAAAACUUAUCUCAGCUAUAAUCAAAUAUUACAGCAAUGAAGAAAUAGAACUAACUGAAAUCCAUUUAAAAGUUAAAAAUCCUUCCUAACCUAUUCAAUCAGAUUUCAAUGACAAUAGAGGGAAUUAUGUCUCACGAACCCACCAAAAACUCAUCUAAACCUUGUUUUCAACGACAAAAUUCAAAAUCCAAUGAGUUUUUUUUUUCUUUUUAAGUCCAGACUUCGAUUCCUUUCUUAUCCCAUUCAAAACUUAUGUAUUAUUUUUCUUAAAAUAACAUAUACUUUGCAUAAAAUAAUUAAUGUUAGAUGAACCUCCAUGAUAAAAAAAAUAAAGCAUGAAAUUCAAAAACUAAAAGAAUUUUAGUGGAUUAUGAUGUACUUUUGUCAUUUUUAUUUUAAAUAAGUUGCAAAGGUUAAGAUUUGAACCAAUACUAUUUGCAUCUAUAAAUUAUUUUUAUAUAUUUCAAUAUCAUUACACUAAAAUAAACUUACAUAUUUUAAAUAAGAUAUAUAAUUACAAAUAGUGUUGAGAUUUGAACCUAUGCUCUCAAUAUUUAUAAAAUAUUUUCUUUACCACUUUAACCCAAACUUUAUUUUGACUUUUUUUUUAUACAUUUCAAUGUUAUUAUACAAAUUGUUUCACCCAAUUUGUUUGUAUAUUUAUAUUAUCAUUUAAGUGUGUAAUUGAAUAAAUGUAUUGGGAACAGAGAGCCAGAGCUAAUUGAUUGCGCCAAAGGGAUAAAAAUAUGGUUUUCUUUCAUAGCCAAGCAUCUCAAAGACAUAGAAGGAAUAAAAUUCAGGGGAUAGAAAAUAUUGACGGUAUUCUUAAAAUAGAAGAUGAAGACAUGAAAAACAUUAUAAGAGAUUAUUUUAUGGGAAUUUUCUCAUCAAAUGGUGUCGACGACACGAACCAUCUUCUUUCAGGUGUUAAGAGAUGCAUUAAUGAAAACAUGAAUCAGAUACUAACAACAACAUAUAAAGAGGAUGAAAUUGUUGCAGCGCUCAAUAGUAUAGGCCGACCAAAGCUUCAGGCCCGAUGGGUUCCCAGCCAUGUUUUUCUAGAAAUUUUGGCACAUUGUAGGUAGGGAGGUAAGUAAUUUUUGUUCGGAGGUCCUUAAUGAGGGCAAAUCUUUAAAACCUUUGAAUCACACGAAUAUUAUUUUAAUUCCGAAGAAUGCUCAUCUAAAAAAUCCUACGAUUUUUAGACCAAUUAGUCUUUGCACAGUGUUCUAUAAAAUCAUUUCAAAAGGUACUUGAUCUCUGUAUUGAUUCAGCUCAAAGUGCUUUUAUCCUGGGAAGAUUAAUUACUGGUAACGUGUUUCUUGCCUAUGAAAUUCUUCCUACCUUGCAAAAUAAAAGGGUGGGAAAAAAGGUCUUAUGGCACUCAAGAUCUACAUGAGCAAGGCGUAUGACCGGGUGAAAUGGGAUUUCUUGAAACAAAUGAUGACCAAAAUGGGUUUCACUAAUUCACGGAAUGAUCUCUUCAUGUAUUGUAUUAGUACUGUUUCGUAUUCAGUUGUUUUAAACGGUGUAGCAGGGAAGGAUUUUACUUUAGAGAGGACCUUGCGUCAAGGUGAUCCUUUAAGCCCUUACUUGUUUCUCAUUUGCAAUGAGGGGCUUUCAACUCUGUUGAGGCUUGCAAGCGAGGAAGGGAAUUUGAGAGGGGUUAAGGUGAGCAGAAGAGGGCCUCAGAUUUCCCACCUUUUUGUUGAUGAAUGUAUUUUGUUUGGGGAAGCGACUGAUAAAGGUAUCAUGACUUUCGAAAAUGUUCUAAAAGAGGAUGAAGUUUUUUCAGGCCAAUGUGUUAAUUAUGGAAAGUCGACAGUGUUUUUCAGUUCAAAUGUCAUAGACACGGUCCGAGUUACCAUUUCUGAUAGGUUGGGGGUCAAAAGGUCUAACAAUUCCGAGAAAUAUUUGGGUCUGCCAAAUAUGGUGGGUAGAAAGAGAUGUUUGCCAUUCCAACACUUAAAAGAUCAUAUAAAAAUGAAGAGUGACAGUUGGAAUACCCGUUUAUUAUCGUAAUGAAGAAAAUAGGUUUUCAUAAAAGUCGUGUUACAGGCAAUUCUGACUUAUACAAUGGCUUGCUUUUUAUUACCGAAAUCAAUAUGCGAAGAGAUGAAGCAAAUAAUGGCAAAUUUCUAGUGGCAAAAGGGUCAUGAAAGACGUGGUAUUCACUAGUGUGAAUGGAGAAGAUUAUGUGAGUUAAAUGAGUGUGGUGGUCUCGGUUAUCGCUAUUUAGCUAAAUUUAAUUUGGCCUUUCUUGCAAAGCAAGGUUGAAGAUUAAUUUACAAUCCUGAGUCUUUCCUAGCCCGAACUUUGAAAGCUAAAUACCAUCCAAAUUCUAAUUUCUUAAACUUAGAGUUAGGAAAUUUACCUUCAUAUACUUGGAAAGGUCUCCUGCUGUCUGGACUCUGUUGGAGGAUGGGAACUGGUCGUAACAUUAAAAUCGAGGAAGAUGUUUAGGUCUCGAAUGCUGAAGGUUUGUUGAUUAAACAAUUGAUUAGUAGGUAGAAUAUUAUGAGGGUUGCGGAUCUUAUUGACAGUGAUACUAGAUCAUGGAGAACUGAGUUGAUUUUUAAUACCUUUUCUGAAGGCGAUGCUCAAAAAGUUCUACAAAUUCCACUGGCUAACCUUCAUCAUGAUGAUUUUCUGGUUUGAAAGGGCGAAUCAACGGGUGAGUUCACUGUAUGUAGCAGUUAUAAGUUGCUUUUAGAAGGUAAUCUUCACAAAAUAAAUAAUUACAACCCGAAUGAAAACACAAAAUGUUACAAAAAGCUUUCAAACAUUGAUCUCCCUUCUAAAAUAAUUGUUACAACUUGGAAAACUACUCCCAACUAUCUUCCUACGCUAGUGAAUCUAAGGAUAAAAAGAUUAACUAAUGAAGUUGUUUGUCCAAGAUGCAUGCAAGGGUUGGAAAAUAGGGAACACAUUUUUCGCGAUUGUUCUGUUACAAAGGGGACAUGGGAAAAAUUAGACUAUGCCUGGUCUCGUGAUUUAUCUCGAAUGGAGUUUAUGGAUUGGUUUACCUGGGUCUUGCUAAUUAGUAGGGAAGAUGUAUGUUGAAUUUUUGUUUGUGCCAUUUGGAUUAUUUGGACUACUAGAAAUCAAUAGAUUCAUGAGGGGCGAAAGAAAUCUGGAGCAGAGACAGCGAAGUUCAUUAUACAGUACAUACAAGACUUAAAAGAUAUUGAUAGAAAGAAUCUUGCCUUGAGACCAAUAUCUGAUAGAUAGAGACCUCCGAAGAAAGGUUUCUUUAAAAUAAAUUUCGAUGCUGCUUUUGAUAACAAGAAAAAUAGAUCAUGUUCGGGAAUCAUUGUCAAGAAUUCUAAGGAGAUAUUUUGGCCUAAAACAAAUGGUCCACAACAACAUACCUUCAGGUUUUGCAGCUGAGGCCAUCGCAUGUCUACAAACAGUUACUGUGGGUAAAGAUCUAGGGAUGAAGUAUGUUGAGAUUGAGGGCGAUUCCUUGACGGUAAUCAAGAAAGUUCAGAAUACGAAUAGGGACAAAUCGACAGUAGAACCAUAUAUUCAUGAUAUUAAAAAUCUGUAUUAGGCUUUUUAUGACUGCAAGUUCUAACAUGCAAGACGAGUAGCAAAUGAAUCUGCACACUGUUUAGCAUCUGAAGGUUUAAAAGUGGGUAGAAAUGAGUACCUUGUUUAUGAAACUGCUGGUUAAGAUAUCACUGAACGGGAAGUAGAUCCGGGAUGGAGAUGAAGUCUACACCGAAACAACGUUCUCAAAUGGUUAUGUGGAUUACGAGAAGAUAUUGAAUCGAUUUAUUUCUACUUGUUUGUCUUCUCCAAGAGCUGUUUAUUGGGGCGCAGAUAUUUUCUUAAAGAAGUCUCUAGAAGAUGACAAUUCAUAAGGCUGGGUUGCUGUUUCUGUUUUGUUUUGGCGAUUUGACUAUUGUUUCUUUUACUUUUUUUUUAUAGGUUUUUAGUCUUAACUUUUUGAGGUUGGGCUUUGAUUAG